CUCAUUAGCUCAGUGCUAGGAGUAACUGAGAAAUACUGAGUGGAUGCACUGUAUGUGGAAUUAGAAAGGUGUCCCAUUCUUUCAUGCUAACCAAUAUGAUACAAUAUUUCCAACUUCCAUUCCCAACUUUCUAUAUUUUGAAGUGUACAGAAUUAGGUUAUGCUUUGAAAAAAGCCACCACUGUUGGUCUUGAUCUGAAUUUGAACACACUUGGUUUAUAAUUGUCACGAUACCUGUUCCUCGUGGCACCAUGUGAUAAUAGAAAUUAUGUCUCUUCUGUGCUCUGAUACACACCCA
Non-coding RNA from Pelobates cultripes (western spadefoot toad), 297 nucleotides. Lineage: Eukaryota; Metazoa; Chordata; Amphibia; Anura; Pelobatidae. The record is from the annotation of a GenBank genome assembly.